CCUACGGGAGGCAGCAGUGAGGAAUAUUGGUCAAUGGACGAGAGUCUGAACCAGCCAAGUAGCGUGAAGGAUGACUGCCCUAUGGGUGUUAAACUUCUUUUAUAAGGGAAUAAAACGAGGCACGUGUGCCUUUUUGCAUGUACUUUAUGAAUAAGGAUGGGCUAACUCCGUGCCAGCAGCAGGGGUAAUACGGAGGGUCCGAGCGUUAUCCGGAUUCAUUGGGUUUAAAGGGAGCGCAGAUGGGUUGUUAAGUCAGUUGUGAAAGUUUGCGGCUCAACCGUAAAAUUGCAAUUGAUACUGGCAGUCUUGAGUACAGGUGAGGUAAGCGGAAUUCGUGGUGUAGCGGUGAAAUGCUUAGAUAUCACGAAGAACCCCGAUUGCGAAGGCAGCUUACUAAACUGUGACUGACAUUGAUGCUCGAAAGUGUGGGUAUCAAACAGGAUUAGAUACCCUAGUAGUC
RNAcentral lists this ribosomal RNA (460 nucleotides) under uncultured bacterium. RNAcentral's name for it is "partial 16S ribosomal RNA". It matches the Rfam family "Bacterial small subunit ribosomal RNA", at positions 338 to 795 of the family's 1533-position model. The record is from RNAcentral.